GAUGAACGCUGGCGGCGUGCCUAAUACAUGCAAGUCGAGCGAACAGACGAGGAGCUUGCUCCUCUGACGUUAGCGGCGGACGGGUGAGUAACACGUGGAUAACCUACCUAUAAGACUGGGAUAACUUCGGGAAACCGGAGCUAAUACCGGAUAAUAUAUUGAACCGCAUGGUUCAAUAGUGAAAGACGGUUUUGCUGUCACUUAUAGAUGGAUCCGCGCCGCAUUAGCUAGUUGGUAAGGUAACGGCUUACCAAGGCAACGAUGCGUAGCCGACCUGAGAGGGUGAUCGGCCACACUGGAACUGAGACACGGUCCAGACUCCUACGGGAGGCAGCAGUAGGGAAUCUUCCGCAAAGGGCGAAAGCCUGACGGAACAACGCCGCGUGAGUGAUGAAGGUCUUCGGAUCGUAAAACUCUGUUAUUAGGGAAGAACAAAUGUGUAAGUAUCUAUGCACGUCUUGACGGUACCUAAUCAGAAAGCCACGGCUAACUACGUG
Molecule: ribosomal RNA, 497 nt
Filed under: uncultured bacterium
Lineage: Bacteria
Description: partial 16S ribosomal RNA
Rfam family: Bacterial small subunit ribosomal RNA
Source: RNAcentral